UACAGAGGUCUCAAGCGUUGUUCGGAUUCAUUGGGCGUAAAGGGUGCGUAGGCGGCGCGGUAAGUCGGGUGUGAAAUCUCGGGGCUUAACUCCGAAACUGCAUUCGAUACUGCCGUGCUUGAGGACUGGAGAGGAGACUGGAAUUUACGGUGUAGCGGUGAAAUGCGUAGAUAUCGAUAAGGAAGACCAGUGGCGAAGGCGGGUCUCUGGACAGUUCCUGACGCUGAGGCACGAAGGCCAGGGGAGCAAACGGG
This 254-nucleotide ribosomal RNA is filed under the name uncultured bacterium. RNAcentral describes it as "partial 16S ribosomal RNA". It matches the Rfam family "Bacterial small subunit ribosomal RNA", at positions 524 to 776 of the family's 1533-position model. The record is from RNAcentral.